ACAUUCAAGGACAGUCGUAAUCACUCUAGUGAGAAGCAGCUCAUAAAAAUACUCAUGGCGACUGGGAUUUAAAUGCAUUUUGACAGGAAAGUGGAAGAAAGCAUCAAGAGCAGAAUCCAUGCCACUGUCACAACCUGAGAGAAAUUUGGUGGAGUCGAGGAGGGCGGUAGAGGACACUGAAUGCUAAGUAGCAGGAGGAUGACAGAGACGAAUUCUGAAUCAUUGACAGGAAUAUCUCAAAUGAAAGUAUAUAAAACAGGAAUUAUCUCAAAUGAAGAAGUUGAGUUUUCAGGCCAAAAGCUGGCAAAGGUUGCCAUGCAGUCUUCAGGAUCAUUCACCAAGAGCCCUUUCCUCCACCUGAAACAUUCCCUGAAGAUCCUGUAAAUAAAUACAGGUAAAUAAACUUGACUGUAUGAACUUCA
Molecule: non-coding RNA, 422 nt
Organism: Chlorocebus sabaeus (green monkey)
Lineage: Eukaryota; Metazoa; Chordata; Mammalia; Primates; Cercopithecidae
Source: RefSeq, a predicted model, not a curated record